Molecule: ribosomal RNA, 1435 nt
Filed under: uncultured organism
Description: 16S ribosomal RNA
Rfam family: Bacterial small subunit ribosomal RNA
Source: RNAcentral
CAGGCUUAACACAUGCAAGUCGAGGGGCAUCAGGAAGAAAGCUUGCUUUCUUUGCUGGCGACCGGCGCACGGGUGAGUAACACGUAUCCAACCUGCCCUUUACUCGGGGAUAGCCUUUCGAAAGAAAGAUUAAUACCCGAUAGCAUAAUGAUUCCGCAUGGUUUCAUUAUUAAAGGAUUCCGGUAAAGGAUGGGGAUGCGUUCCAUUAGGUUGUUGGUGAGGUAACGGCCCACCAAGCCUUCGAUGGAUAGGGGUUCUGAGAGGAAGGUCCCCCACAUUGGAACUGAGACACGGUCCAAACUCCUACGGGAGGCAGCAGUGAGGAAUAUUGGUCAAUGGGCGCUAGCCUGAACCAGCCAAGUAGCGUGAAGGAUGAAGGCUCUAUGGGUCGUAAACUUCUUUUAUAUAAGAAUAAAGUGCAGUAUGUAUACUGUUUUGUAUGUAUUAUAUGAAUAAGGAUCGGCUAACUCCGUGCCAGCAGCCGCGGUAAUACGGAGGAUCCGAGCGUUAUCCGGAUUUAUUGGGUUUAAAGGGAGCGUAGGUGGACUGGUAAGUCAGUUGUGAAAGUUUGCGGCUCAACCGUAAAAUUGCAGUUGAUACUGUCAGUCUUGAGUACAGUAGAGGUGGGCGGAAUUCGUGGUGUAGCGGUGAAAUGCUUAGAUAUCACGAAGAACUCCGAUUGCGAAGGCAGCUCACUGGACUGCAACUGACACUGAUGCUCGAAAGUGUGGGUAUCAAACAGGAUUAGAUACCCUGGUAGUCCACACAGUAAACGAUGAAUACUCGCUGUUUGCGAUAUACAGUAAGCGGCCAAGCGAAAGCAUUAAGUAUUCCACCUGGGGAGUACGCCGGCAACGGUGAAACUCAAAGGAAUUGACGGGGGCCCGCACAAGCGGAGGAACAUGUGGUUUAAUUCGAUGAUACGCGAGGAACCUUACCCGGGCUUAAAUUGCAGUGGAAUGAUGUGGAAACAUGUCAGUGAGCAAUCACCGCUGUGAAGGUGCUGCAUGGUUGUCGUCAGCUCGUGCCGUGAGGUGUCGGCUUAAGUGCCAUAACGAGCGCAACCCUUAUCUUUAGUUACUAACAGGUUAUGCUGAGGACUCUAGAGAGACUGCCGUCGUAAGAUGUGAGGAAGGUGGGGAUGACGUCAAAUCAGCACGGCCCUUACGUCCGGGGCUACACACGUGUUACAAUGGGGGGUACAGAAGGCAGCUAGCGGGUGACCGUAUGCUAAUCCCAAAAGCCUCUCUCAGUUCGGAUCGAAGUCUGCAACCCGACUUCGUGAAGCUGGAUUCGCUAGUAAUCGCGCAUCAGCCACGGCGCGGUGAAUACGUUCCCGGGCCUUGUACACACCGCCCGUCAAGCCAUGGGAGCCGGGGGUACCUGAAGUACGUAACCGCAAGGAUCGUCCUAGGGUAAAACUGGUGACUGGGGC